GCAUGCAAGUCGAGCGGCAAGGGCCUUCGGGCCCCUAGAGCGGCGGACGGGUGAGUAACACGUGGACAAUCUGCCCCCCGGACCGGGAUAGCCCAGGGAAACCUGGAUUAAUACCGGAUGAGAGCGUCGGCGCACAAGCGUCGGCGGGGAAAGGCGCUGCGGCGCCGCCGGGGGAUGAGUCCGCGGCCCAUUAGCUGGAUGGCGGGGUAAAGGCCCACCAUGGCGACGAUGGGUAGCCGGCCUGAGAGGGUGAUCGGCCACAUUGGAACUGAGACACGGUCCAGACUCCUACGGGAGGCAGCAGCUAAGAAUCUUCCGCAAUGGGCGAAAGCCUGACGGAGCGACGCCGCGUGAACGAUGAAGGCCGUGAGGUUGUAAAGUUCUUUUCGGGAGGGAGAACAACCGUGGCAGGGAAUGGCCGCGGGAUGACGUGAAUCCCGGAAUAAGCCCCGGCUAACUACGUGCCAGCAGCCGCGGUAACACGUAGGGGGCGAGCGUUGUUCGGAAUCAUUGGGCGUAAAGGGCGUGCAGGCGGCCCUGCAAGUCCGGCGUGAAAGACCCCGGCCCAACCGGGGGGACGCGCUGGAAACUGCAGGGCUUGAAUACAGGAGGGGAUGCCGGAAUUCCAGGUGUAGGGGUGAAAUCUGUAGAUAUCUGGAAGAACACCAAUGGCGAAGGCAGGCAUCUGGCCAUGUAUUGACGCUGAGACGCGAAGGUGCGGGGAGCAAACAGGUUUAGAUACCCUGGUAGUCCGCACAGUAAACGAUGUGCACCAGGUGU
Molecule: ribosomal RNA, 780 nt
Filed under: uncultured bacterium
Lineage: Bacteria
Description: bacterial SSU rRNA
Rfam family: Bacterial small subunit ribosomal RNA
Source: RNAcentral